Salvia splendens (bonfire salvia) is the source of this 334-nucleotide long non-coding RNA. RefSeq lists it as uncharacterized. The transcript is spliced from 3 exons. NCBI's taxonomy places the organism in Eukaryota, Viridiplantae, Streptophyta, Magnoliopsida, Lamiales, Lamiaceae. The record is from RefSeq and is a predicted model, not a curated record.
AUUUGUGUUAUGCUUCUCUAUAGGUUUGUUGAAAUUUAUUGCAGAUACCUAUUUAUCUAUUUCAAUGAUUGUAGGUUGUUGAGCUCAAGGUUGCGUUGGAGCUGUUAAGAGGGUUCUUGGAAAAUUAGACGGAACGCGAGGAAGAUGCUGAGGCUCUCGUCUGUUGGCCGGUAAUGUCCACUAUAAGCUGAUACAGACUGAAAAGCUGCUAGAGUCACACCACCUGCUAGGAAACUCGAAUGGUGAAACAUCCCCUUCCUUUUCUGCACCAAGACACAAGAAUAUGGAUCAAUUCCUGCUGAGGGUUAAAGAUUUUCUUAAUCUCUGACGUCGG